This 449-nucleotide ribosomal RNA is filed under the name uncultured bacterium. RNAcentral's name for it is "SSU rRNA". It matches the Rfam family "Bacterial small subunit ribosomal RNA", at positions 26 to 518 of the family's 1533-position model. The record is from RNAcentral.
AGAGCGAACGCUGGCGGCAGGCUUAACACAUGCAAGUCGAGCGCUCGUAGCAAUACGGGAGCGGCAGACGGGAGAGUAACACGUGGGAACGUACCCUUCGGUUCGGAAUAACCCAGGGAAACUUGGGCUAAUACCGGAUACGUCCGUAAGGAGAAAGAUUUAUCGCCGAGGGAUCGGCCCGCGUCCGAUUAGCUAGUUGGUGGGGUAAUGGCCCACCAAGGCGACGAUCGGUAGCUGGUCUGAGAGGAUGAUCAGCCUCACUGGGACUGAGACACGGCCCAGACUCCUACGGGAGGCAGCAGUGGGGAAUAUUGGACAAUGGGCGCAAGCCUGAUCCAGCCAUGCCGCGUGGGUGAUGAAGGCCUUAGGGUUGUAAAGCCCUUUCGGCGGGGAAGAUAAUGACGGUACCCGCAGAAGAAGCCCCGGCUAACGUUCGUGCCAGCAGCCGC